AAUCCACCACUCGUUUCUCGAGGCCCUUAAGCAAGUAUAAAAACCUCCCCAACCCCAUCACUUUAAUCACCAAAUUCCUCCACCACUAAUCUUAAAAUUUCAGGCAUUUCUAUUCAACUCUGCUUUCUCAAGAGCUCAAAUUAAGAAACAUGAGCAGGCCAGGAGAUUGGAACUGUAGGUCAUGCAACCAUCUCAACUUCCAAAGGAGGGACUCGUGCCAGAGGUGCGGGGAGCCAAAAAGUGGGGAGAGAGUUGAGUAUGGAAGUUUUGGUGGAAGAGGUGGAGGUGGUGGUUCUUUCGGAUUCACCACUGGUCCGGAUGUCCGCCCGGGUGACUGGUACUGCACCAUUAGCAAUUGUGCAGCGCAUAACUUUGCCAGCCGUUCCAGCUGCUUCAAGUGUGGUGCGUCCAAGGAUGAAUCGUCCAGUGGCGGCGGUGGUGGCUAUGAGGGUAGAGGGUUUGGAUUUGGGAGCGGUGGAAGUAGCUCUGGUCGCUCUGGAUGGAAAUCUGGAGAUUGGAUUUGCACAAGGUCAGGGUGCAAUGAGCACAACUUCGCUAGCAGGAUGGAAUGUUUCAGAUGCAAUGCUCCAAGGGACAACAAUGGUGGCAAGUCUCCAUAUUAACUCGUAAAUUUUCAUCAUUUUCAGUGAGUACUGCUGUACUUUGCUGAAGGAACUGAGAGAAGAACAUGAUUCCCUUAUGAUGGCUUGAGCUAGCAACUCCUUUAGUAGGCCGGAUGACCACCCUCCUAUAUUUUUUUUCCUCUUUCAAUUCCCUUUUCCUUCCCCACUCCUUCAUUUCCAGUUUCUAUCUUUUAUUUUUCUAAGGAGCUUAAUUUGAAUUGUGUCUGAUGAAGACUUGAUGAAGUAGUACUUUAACAAAGCUAAAUGAUUUGUCAUUUUGUGAGCUUUCUUAUGAUAUGAACUAUAUAGGCAUGUAGUUUUCUGGUAGUAUUAAAUCUAAUUUAUCAUCUCUUUC
Prunus mume (Japanese apricot) is the source of this 978-nucleotide non-coding RNA. The record is from RefSeq and is a predicted model, not a curated record. NCBI's taxonomy places the organism in Eukaryota, Viridiplantae, Streptophyta, Magnoliopsida, Rosales, Rosaceae.